UCUUCUCUCCCUAGUCCCCCACUGGUGCCCGCCUUCACCCCCACACCACUGGUCUGUUUGGCCCUCCGGGUCCCCUCUCUAGCUGGCCUCCCAUCUUCCCCUGCUGAGCCAGGUUGGUUUCGGAAAUGCCCUUACAGCAGCAGGCAAAGUGAAGCCUAGAGCUAGGAAAGGCGCUCACAGUACCUCUCAGAUGGUUUCAAAACCCCUGAGGGCAAAAGAAGAGCUGCUCUAUGAAGUCCAGAUAGUCCUAAAACUCCAAAAAUCUCCCUCAGAAAAACGCCAUAUGAUACAUCCCUUGGUGUGCUCACCAAGAAGUUCAUUCAGCUCCUGAGCCAGUCUCUCCAUGGGGUCUUGGAUUUGAACAAGGCAGAAAAACUGCUAAAAGUACAAAAGAGAAGGACUUAUGAUAUCACCAACAUUCAAAGCAUCUCCCUCAUUAAGAAGUCUAAAAAUAGCCGGGCAUUUUGGCUCAUGCCUGUAAUCCCAGCACUUUGGGAGGCCAAGGUGGGCAGGUCACGAGGUCAAGAGAUCAAGACCAUCCUGGCCAACAUGGUGAAACCCUGUCUCUACUAAAAAUACAAAAAUUAGCUGGGCAUGGUGGUGUGUGCCUGUAGUCCCAGCUGCUCGGGAGGCUGAGGCAGGAGAAUCGCUUGAACCCAGGAGGUGGAGGUUGCAGUGAGCCGAGAUUGCGCCACUGCACUCCAGCCUGGCAACAGAGCAAGACUCUGUCUAAAGAAAAGGAAGAAGGAAAACAUCCAGUGGGCUACAGUCUGUCUGAGGAUGAGGACAUGCUGGCCCAAUGUCAAGGCCUGUCAAAAGAAGCAACCAAGCUCAGUCAGGAAGAGAAAAAAUUAGAUGAACUGAUCCAAAGCUAUACCCUGGACCUCAAACUAUUAACCGCAGAUUCAGAGAAUCAAAGGUUAGCUUAUGUUACGUAUCAAGAUAUUUGAAAACUUAGUGGUCUUAAAGACCAAAUGGUUAUAAGUUGUGAAAGCCCCUCCAGAAACAAGACUUGAAGCACUUUACUCAAUAGAGAGCCUACAGAUACAUUUGGCAAGUACCCAAGGACCAAUUGAGGUUUACUCCUGUCCGGAAGAGAUGGAAACACACAAUCCAGUGAAAACAAACAACCAAGACCACAAUGGGAAUAUCUCUAAACCCAAUUCCAACGACUUGGAUUCAACCAACACAGGACAUGGCGAUUGGUCAAUUUCUAUGGCAAACCUUUCUCCCUUGGCCUCCCCAGCCAACUUUUUACAGCAGACUGAGGACCAAAUUCCUUCUAACCUAGAAGGACCAUUUGUAAACUUACUGCCUCCCCUGCUGCAAGAGGACUGUCUCCUGAGCCUUGGGGAGGAGGAAGGCAUCAGUGAUAUCUUUGAUGCUGAUGAUUUGGAAAAGCUUCCACUGGUGGAAGACUUC
RNAcentral lists this long non-coding RNA (1422 nucleotides) under Homo sapiens (human). RNAcentral describes it as "non-protein coding lnc-STK17B-2:1". Lineage: Eukaryota; Metazoa; Chordata; Mammalia; Primates; Hominidae. The record is from RNAcentral.